RNAcentral lists this long non-coding RNA (6067 nucleotides) under Musa acuminata (dwarf banana). RNAcentral's name for it is "long non-coding RNA (MACU_LNC002928)". The record is from RNAcentral. Lineage: Eukaryota; Viridiplantae; Streptophyta; Magnoliopsida; Zingiberales; Musaceae.
UCUUGUCCACCUGGAAAGCCUUGGCGAGAACAUCGUCGGAGAUGGGUGGCUUAGACCCGAACACAGCGUCGGCGAUGGUGAUGGUGCCAGGGUUUUGGCUACUGAGAGCACCGAUGGCGACGGUGUUGGUGUGCCCAGGGUUGAACUGGAAGUGGAUGAGGCCUUGAGGGAACACAAACACAUCACCCUUCUUCAGCAUCUUGGUGAAGAGACGGUUGCCGUCCUCACCGUUGGAGGUGACGAAGCCGACGAAGAGCUGUCCUUCUAUGACGGUGACGAUCUCGGUGGCAGGAGGGUGAGUGUGGGGCGGGUUGAGGCCUUUGGGGACGUAGUCGAUGCGAACCAUGGAGAUACCGAGGGUAUUCAGUCCUGGAAUCUGGUUAACGUUGGCUGGCGUGACAUUGAACCCCAACUUGUUUCCUGUCUCGCCGGGCAUGUCGAGGCCAGACAGAGAGAAGUCGUCGGCUUUCACAACCUUGGAGUCCUUGCAGACGAAUCCAUUCACCUGCACUUGCAGCAGUAAGAAUAAAACUCGAUCAGUAAACGUGCAUCAGGAUAGCCAUGGGAACAUAAAAAGGUCCAAAUGGCAAAUAUUAUCAUCAUCGAAUAAGGUUGAUGAAGCAUGGUACCUUUUGUUGGGCUCAGCCCAAUAGGUGGGCUUGGACGGUUGAUUUGGGCAUUCAGUCCAAAUCUGAUUUAUUAAAAAAAUAAAAAUAUAUAAUUUUGAGGUUUUUGUUAGAAAAUCAAUCAGUUAAACUUCAUCGAUUUUAGUCUAAAUUUUAUAUGAAAAAUCCAUAAGUUUAAUGAUGUCGAUAUACAGUUUAUCCUCUUUGAGGUACUUUUCUGCUAUAUUUACUUGGUGAGACUUAAAAUUUUUCUUUCAUGAAAGACAUUUGAUGAUAUGUUAUUAUUGAACCAAGAUAUGUGUUUUUGAUAUUAUUAUGAUCCUCUAGAAAAGAUUUAUUAUAAACCUAUUAUCAUUAUUUAUCGGUGACGAUGGAAGUUUGAAGUAGACUUCGGUCUUACGAUUUUUUCUGGAUUGAAUUUUUCACGUAAAAUACUCGAUGUCUUAUUUUGUAAUUGAUUUAUUAUUCUACUGUUUAUGUUGCUCUAAUUAAAAUUUACUUUCAAUAAUAAAUUGAUAUUUUGAUGAAUAAUCUAUUUUGAUAAAAAAAAUUCACUAUAAUAAUUUUUCUCAACGGCUUUGGAGUUCAUAUCAGCGACGCAGAAGUCUUGAAGAGGACUAGGAUCAGAAGCCAAUGCAUGAGAGGCAGCCAAGGCAAGGAGAGCAAUGAGAAGGAUUUUGGCAGCCAUCCGUAGGCUUUAGGGUGGAUGAAGUUGCUUGGUGCUGUGAUACAAAUGGUUGAAGGAGAAUGAUACACAUGGAGAAGCAGUAGGCUCCGAGACGUUCUUGAUCAUUAGGUGAAAGAGUUGAAAUGUAUAACGUGUUGGGUGCCAUCUGCUUGCUGGGCAUGAAGCUUUUUGACAGAGUCGCAGUGAUUGCUUGCCUUCCUUGCUUAACACAAAAAGACUCGCUAUCCGACUCAUCAGAAUGGCCAACCAAAUCCACACCCAGUUCUCCAAGAUUGCAUAGUGUCCACUUGAUCUCGUCAACGUUAAUAUAUGUAUGUGUGUGUCGUCAGCAAUGACCGAGCUCUUCAUUAGGGCACGCUGAAGAAGUAAAUGAACGCAAGUGGUGGAUCCAUUGAAUGAACAAAAUAGUCCAAGCUAGAUUUCUAGGAUGACAUAACGCUACCAAAGUCGUGGGAAGUUUCGCAAAGAUGUCGGAGAUGGGUAUGAAAAGAACAUACUCGUAAUGGGACUAUUUGUAUAUCAGAUUAUGAACAGUUGAUCUCUGAAAUCUCAUCCCUCGUUAUACAACCUUGUUUGUCCUACAACUCGAGGUAAUAACUUUCCUAAGUUAUUUCGGGAUUUUUUUGGUAUUAUGAUUGUUGCGUAAAUUAACUUAUAAUUGAUGUAUUUUAGUAAAUAAAUCCACAUGAAUAUAUAAAGUUUACGAAGCUCAAAGAGGAUAGAGAUAACGUGGAUAAAAGUAUGCAUAUAAUAUGGAAUGUUGCACUCUAUGCUAUGAUCUUCCGGAGGGAGAUAGUUAAUUCGUAAAGCCUAUCAACUAUGCGAUAAUACGCUAAUAAAGAUACUCACGAAUUCUGAAACAUGACGCACUUCAUACGUGCUUUUCAUAACAUAGAAAGGCUGCUUAAUUCCAUUACAAUAGCAAAUGCAAACAGGUAGUCCACUGUUUGCUUAUUGACACCAAAACACAGGAGCUAAGAGUGCAGCUUAUUCAAUUCAUCCGACUAGUUUUUCUUCGCGAACUGAGCCUGAAGCCAGUCGAUGGUCUUCUUGUCCACUUGGAAAGCCUUGGCGAGGAUUUCAUCCGAGAUGGGGGGAUUCGACCCGAACACAGCAUCGGCGAUGGUGAUGGUGCCAGGGUUUUGGCUGCUGAGAGCACCGAUGGCGAAGGUGUUGGUGUGCCCAGGGUUGAACUGGAAGUGGAUGAGGCCUUGGGGGAACACAAACACAUCACCCUUCUUCAGCAUCUUGGUGAAGAGACGGUUGCCGUCGUCGCUGUUGGAUGUGACGAAGCCGACCAAGAGCUGUCCCUCUAUGACGGUGAGGAUCUCGGUGGCACGGGGGUGAGUGUGGGGCGGGUUGAGGCCAUUGGGGAUGUAGUCGAUGCGAACCAUGGAGAUGCCGAGGGUGUUGAGCCCUGGAAUCUGGAUCACGUUGGCAGGCGUGACAUUGAACCCGAAAUUGUUCUUUCCUGUAUCGCCGGGCAUGUCGAGGCCAGAAAGAGAGAAGUCGUCGGCUUUCACAACCAUGGGGUCCUUGCAGACGAAUCCAUUCACCCGCACUGCAACAGCAGAAGGAAGAAGCAAACUCGGUCGGUAAACAUGCAUCAGGAGAACAAACGCACCGAAGGAAAUUAAUCUGGAUACUAUGAAUACCUUUAGACAUCAUAUCUGCGACACAGAAGUCUUGAAGUUGGCUAGGAUCGGAAGCCAUUGCAAGAGAGGAAGCCAUGGCGAGGAGAACAAGGAGAAACAUUUCGGCGGCCAUCUGUAAUCUCUUAGAUGGAUGGGAUUACCUGGUGCCGUGAUACAGUGGCCUGGAAGAGACGGGUAUAUAUAGAGAAGCAGGCUCUGAAACAUUCAUGAUCAUUAGGUGAAGGAGAUGAAAAGUAUACCAUGUUAGGUUGCUUUCUUCUUGCAAUAUAUUUUCUAUAGCCGUCACCUCGUACGAGAUCCAUAUGAUGCACAGUAACCAUUAAAUUUGUUGACGUGUCUCAGUAACCUAAUCCAUGACCAUUUUAUAUGUAUAUAUAUAAUGAUGGAGCUUUUAGUUAGAUCAUGCUGUAGUGUAAAAUGGACUCUUACGUUCGACUGCAUAAUCCACCACGUGAGAUUUUUGUGACGACCUUACGCUACCAAACAAGAGGAGAAGUCAGCAAAGAUGUGGCAGCUGAACAGAACAAGCUAAGGACAGGUAGAAAGAACAAGAAGCCAAAGAUGUGAUUACCAAUUUGACCUUGUCGGGUCUUGUGUACUGCUACGGCUGAUACCGUGUAUUAUAAUUAAGGUGUUCUACGUCAUCUCCGACUAUUUUCAUCACACUGAGACGUCGCGUGCAUGUUGCAAAGAAGUAUGUAAAUACGUAAGUUCUUAAGAGAUUAUAAGUUGAUAUAAUGCUGUCCAAGAAUAGUAAGCAUGUUGAUAGUUGCCUCUACGUUAAACGCUUAUGGGAUCCUAAGUUAUUAAGAGAUCAUAAGAGAUUUUAAAAAUACUAAAUCUUCGUAUAUAGGUAUACAAGAAUAUUGUACGAUUUAGAUAAAAUCAAUUAUAUUCGUGAUAAAAAUCAAUGAGGUUAGGUGAGAUAAAAUAUUUUUUUUAAUUAAAUAUCUAAAGUAAAAUUAACAUAUCAACAUUACAUUGUUCACAUAAAAUUUAUAAUCAUAUUAUCUAUAAUACGAAAAAAAAAUUAUGUCAAAAUUUAAAAUCAAAUAAUAAUGGAUCUAAAUAAUAUUACGAUGCAUACCUUUCGUUGUUAUUUAGAAGAAUAAAUAUUAUCUGAUCUACAGGCGUAUCAUCGUCGGAUCUAAAUGAAAUACUUCUAUUUAGCCCUUAAGAUCAUAUCUAUUUAUAAACAAAAACAAAGAGUCUAAGAUAAGAUAUUAGAAGAAUUCCUCCCAUAAGGAUAUCCUUGGAAUCCUACUAUAAUAUGAAUUUUUUUUUUAUUAAUCAAUAAUCAUAAUCAGAAUUCAAUCAUAUCUAUAAUAUAUUUUACCUAAUUAAAUAUGACCACACAAUCUAACACUCAAUCAUAAAUCCACGAAUCAUAAAUCCAUAAAAAACCAGAAUUUUUGAACUCAUUUCAACCGAGUUCCCAAAAAGUUUAUUAAGUAAAUAAGAUAUUAUUAUGAAUACAAAACAUUUUAAAGUUUUAUAGAUGAUAAUUCUUUUCUAGAAGGUUCUGCCAGCGAGGAUGAAUAAAAAAAAAAGAAAAAUAUCGAUAUAAUAUUUGUAAUUUAUAUAAAUAUAAACAUUUUUCGUCCAUCCAACUCAGCGACCUCUCUGGCAAUCAGAAAGAUUUCAAUAACGAUCAAACAAAGGCUAAUCGAUUAUUUCAGUCAUCAGAUUUUGGUGGCAACGACAUGUUACCAAACACCAUAAAGAAGCUCUCAAAGUCCGACCACGAGACAAGACAAAGUUGCCAGUACGAAUCCGUCUCCGUUCUUCGACCUCGUUCCAUACUGUAUAUUACGAUCGAAGUGAACUGUGUCAUCUUCAACUAUUUCACCAUCACACUGUUUAUAUAUUAUUAUGGUCUAUUUGUGAUCACAACAUAAGAGUUCAAAUUCAUAAUUAUAUUUCAUUUUAGUAAAUGAAUAAAUUGGAGUGAUUGAUACCGCCGGUUAUAGGUGGAUGCAAUCGAGCCAUAUACUACUACUGAACUUUGUAGAUCCCAUGUCAUACAAGUCAAGACAAAAGCACUCCUUUCGGGAAUUCUUGGUGAUGACUUGUUGAAGUUAUGAUCGUGUAUACAAUAUCUCAUGUUUCAGUCAUAAUAUUUGCAUAAAUUGACUUAUUACCGGUAUAUUUUAGUAAAGUUGUCUGCAUAGAUAUAUAAAGUUCAUGAACCUGAGGGAGGAUAAACAUAAGGUGGAUAAAGAAGUAUGCAUAUAUAUAUAUAAUAUGAGAUAUUACACUUUUUGAGGAUGCUGCACUCCAUAUAAUCUAUAAUCUUCCAGGUGGGAAAUACUAUCAUAUGAUCUAAAUAUUGAAAUAUGACUCAUGGAUUUCUUUCUUAAAAAUCAAGUUUUAUUUAUUAUAUUUAAUGACGUGUUUAUAUGAAAUUUGCAACAGUACACCAAUCGUAUGUCAAUAGAGAUGACUCGAGAAUUCUGAAACAUGACACACUUCAUACGUACUUUUCAUAACAUAGAAAGGUCUCUUAAUUCCAUUACAAUAGCAAACGCAAACAGGUAGUCCACUGUUUGCUUAUUCACACCAAAACACACGAGCUAAGAGUGCAGCUUAAUUCAUUCCUCCGACUAGUUUUUCUUCGCGAACUGAGCCUGAAGCCAGUCGACAAGCUUCUUGUCCACUUGGAAAGCCUUGGCGAGGAUUUCAUCCGAGAUGGGGGGAUUCGCCCCGAACACAGCAUCGGCGAUUGUGAUGGUGCCGGGGUUUUGGCUACUGAGAGCACCGAUGGCGAAGGUGUUGGUGUACCCAGGGUUGAACUGGAAGUGGAUGAGGCCUUGAGGGAACACAAACACAUCACCCUUCUUCAGCAUCUUGGUGAAGAGGCGGUUGUCGGUGUUGGAUGUGACGAAGCCGACUAAGAGCUGUCCCUCUAUGACGGUGAGGAUCUCGGUGGCACGGGGGUGAGUGUGGGGCGGGUUGAGGCCUUUGGGGAUGUAGUCGAUGCGAACCAUGGAGAUGCCGAGGGUGUUGAGUCCUGGAAUCUGCAUCACGUUGGCAGGCGUGACAUUGAACCCGAACUUGUUUCCGGUAUCGCCAGGCAUGUCGAGGCCAGAAAGAGAGAA